CCCGAAGUAUCCUGAAUCUUUCGCAUUGUUAAUCAUACAAGUGCAUAUAAUAAACACAAAAANUCAAUGAUAAUCAUGCCAUUAUAUAAUUCCGAAAAAUUAACGCACUGUAAUCAUAUAAAUCUAUCAGCACUUUAUCAAAUUUAUACCUUUUAUUCUGUGUUAAAAUGCAAGCACUUUAAUUGAAAUAAACUUAAUGCAUAAUUUUAUGAUAAAUUAUAUAUGCUAAUAGAUUACAAUGUCCUUAUAUGGAAAAAAUG
This 260-nucleotide ribosomal RNA is filed under the name Drosophila bromeliae. RNAcentral's name for it is "partial 28S ribosomal RNA". The record is from RNAcentral. Lineage: Eukaryota; Metazoa; Arthropoda; Insecta; Diptera; Drosophilidae.